AUGAACGCUAGCUACAGGCUUAACACAUGCAAGUCGAGGGGAAACGACAUCGAAAGCUUGCUUUUGAUGGGCGUCGACCGGCGCACGGGUGAGUAACGCGUAUCCAACCUGCCCAUCACUUGGGAAUAACCUUGCGAAAGUAAGACUAAUACCCAAUGACAUCCCACGAAGACAUCUGAAUGGGAUUAAAGAUUUAUCGGGGAUGGAGGGGGAUGCGGCUGAUUAGCUUGUUGGCGGGGUAACGGCCCACCAAGGCAACGAACGGGAGGGGUUCUGAGAGGAAGGCCCCCCACAUUGGAACUGAGACCCGGUCCAAACUCCUACGGGAGGCAGGAGUGGGGAAUAUUGGUCAAGGGGGGGGGCCCUAAACCAGCAAAGGAGCGUGCAGGAUGACGGCCCUUUGGGUUUUAAACUGUUUUUAUAAGGGAAUAAAGUGGGUUUCGGGGAAUUUUUUGGAGGUACUUUUGAAAAAAGGACCGGCUAAUUCCGU
Molecule: ribosomal RNA, 490 nt
Filed under: uncultured bacterium
Lineage: Bacteria
Description: partial 16S ribosomal RNA
Rfam family: Bacterial small subunit ribosomal RNA
Source: RNAcentral